AGUGGCGGACGGGUGAGUAACACGUAAGAAUUUACCUUUAGGAGGGGGAUAACAACUGGAAACGGUUGCUAAUACCCCAUAGGCUUUCGAGUGAAAUGGAUUUUUCCGCCUAGAGAGAAGCUUGCGGCUGAUUAGCUUGUUGGUGAGGUAAUGGCUUACCAAGGCGACGAUCAGUAUCUGGUUUGAGAGGACGAUCAGACACACUGGAACUGAGACACGGUCCAGACUCCUAGGGGAGGCAGCAGUGGGGAAUUUUCCGCAAUGGGCGAAAGCCUGACGGAGCAAUCUCGCGUGAGGGAUGACGGCCUAUGGGUUGUAAACCUCUUUUUUUCAGGGAGGAACAAAAUGACGUGUACCUGAAGAAUAAGCAUCGGCUAACUCCGUGCCAGCAGCCGCGGUAAGACGGAGGAUGCAAGUGUUAUCCGGAAUCACUGGGCGUAAAGCGUCUGUAGGUGGUUUACUAAGUCAACUGUUAAAUCUUGAAGCUCAACUUCAAAAUCGCAGUCGAAACUAGUAGACUAGAGUAUAGUAGGGGUAAAGGGAAUUUCCAGUGGAGCGGUGAAAUGCGUAGAGAUUGGAAAGAACACCGAUGGCGAAGGCACUUUACUGGGCUAUUACUGACACUCAGAGACGAAAGCUAGGGUAGCAAAUGGGAUUAGAUACCCC
This 666-nucleotide ribosomal RNA is filed under the name uncultured bacterium. RNAcentral's name for it is "bacterial SSU rRNA". It matches the Rfam family "Bacterial small subunit ribosomal RNA", at positions 94 to 788 of the family's 1533-position model. The record is from RNAcentral.